AAUAACAAUCGAUAUUCCCAUUUUCCCAACGACAAUACCGUAAUGCCAUCGGUAGGAACGCAAUCCGUUUUUGGAGAACAAACGACCAACACAGCAACCAUAGCAACGGGUCGAAACAGCGACGCCACCAGGUUGGUUCCAGGUUUGCCAGCAAUUCGUAACAUUUGUGGCUCCGUUUUCAAUCCGCACACACUGUUGCGCUUUAUUGAACACAGAGAGAGAGAGCCCAAGAACCUGCAGGAUGUCGCGCGCGUAAGGAAUGGGUUAAAUGUGACCGGAAGGAGCGGCCUAUACAACGUUGCCAAACAACUUCUGUCGGUAACGAAACGAUCAUGGUUGGGAUUGACUUUUUUUUGGUUGAUUGUUUGCGCUUACUUGUGAAUUUAUUUCACCAAAAAGGAGAAUAAAAACGAACGCUUUUGCUGUUGCAUACUGUGGCCAAACUGUGUUGCUAUACCUCGAGCGGGGCACUAAAAAUCGAUACCGAUUUGCUCUGGUUCAACCUCAGGGUAAUCCAUCCGUACAGUGCGACAGUGCAGUUCGCAAUCGCUUUACUACAUCGUCCUCUUCUUCCCUGGUGCUCUGUGGCUAAAAAACAAGUGUCCCUAUUUGUUGACCCUCCGACCGAGAACCGAACCGUGCAGUGAUGAUGGACAAUGUCACCCCAAAUGGGAUCGGUUGCAGGCGAAUGGAUGGAUGGCGAAACUUCAACACUCCCGGCGUAAGGCGUCUGGGGUUUUCGGGCCCCCUGAAAUUAAGCCCGGUUACAAUGAUCCGACCAUGCAGUAUCAGGCCGAAGGAAGCAGUGGCACAGACACACACAGGUCUUCGAUGACGUGUAGAAGGCCGUCGCCGUCGCAACCACCACCCCGUACCAGCAGCAGCAGCAGCAGCAGCAGCAGCAGCGUGACUGUCCACGUACGCAUGAAGUUUGCGUAAUAAAAUUUGCAUAAUU
Molecule: long non-coding RNA, 955 nt
Organism: Anopheles merus
Lineage: Eukaryota; Metazoa; Arthropoda; Insecta; Diptera; Culicidae
Exons: 3
Source: RefSeq, a predicted model, not a curated record